GUGCUCACUUCAGCAGCACAUAUACUAAAAUUGGAACGAUACAGAGAAGAUUAGCAUGGCCCCUGUUGAAGGAUGACAUGCAAAUAUCACAGUGCAUUAACUCUAAUUU
This is a small nuclear RNA of Sorex fumeus (smoky shrew), 109 nucleotides long. Lineage: Eukaryota; Metazoa; Chordata; Mammalia; Eulipotyphla; Soricidae. The record is from RefSeq and is a predicted model, not a curated record.